UUCGACACACUAUCAUUAACUGAAUCCAUAGGUUAAUGAGGCGAACCGGGGGAACUGAAACAUCUAAGUACCCCGAGGAAAAGAAAUCAACCGAGAUUCCCCCAGUAGCGGCGAGCGAACGGGGAGCAGCCCAGAGCCUGAAUCAGUGUGUGUAUUAGUGGAAGCGUCUGGAAAGGCGCGCGAUACAGGGUGACAGCCCCGUACACAAAAAUGCACAUGCUGUGAGCUCGAUGAGUAGGGCGGGACACGUGGUAUCCUGUCUGAAUAUGGGGGGACCAUCCUCCAAGGCUAAAUACUCCUGACUGACCGAUAGUGAACCAGUACCGUGAGGGAAAGGCGAAAAGAACCCCGGCGAGGGGAGUGAAAAAGAACCUGAAACCGUGUACGUACAAGCAGUGGGAGCCUCUUUAUGGGGUGACUGCGUACCUUUUGUAUAAUGGGUCAGCGACUUAUAUUCUGUAGCAAGGUUAACCGAAUAGGGGAGCCGAAGGGAAACCGAGUCUUAACUGGGCGUUAAGUUGCAGGGUAUAGACCCGAAACCCGGUGAUCUAGCCAUGGGCAGGUUGAAGGUUGGGUAACACUAACUGGAGGACCGAACCGACUAAUGUUGAAAAAUUAGCGGAUGACUUGUGGCUGGGGGUGAAAGGCCAAUCAAACCGGGAGAUAGCUGGUUCUCCCCGAAAGCUAUUUAGGUAGCGCCUCGUGAAUUCAUCUCCGGGGGUAGAGCACUGUUUCGGCAAGGGGGUCAUCCCGACUUACCAACCCGAUGCAAACUGCGAAUACCGGAGAAUGUUAUCACGGGAGACACACGGCGGGUGCUAACGUCCGUCGUGAAGAGGGAAACAACCCAGACCGCCAGCUAAGGUCCCAAAGUCAUGGUUAAGUGGGAAACGAUGUGGGAAGGCCCAGACAGCCAGGAUGUUGGCUUAGAAGCAGCCAUCAUUUAAAGAAAGCGUAAUAGCUCACUGGUCGAGUCGGCCUGCGCGGAAGAUGUAACGGGGCUAAACCAUGCACCGAAGCUGCGGCAGCGACGCUUAUGCGUUGUUGGGUAGGGGAGCGUUCUGUAAGCCUGUGAAGGUGUACUGUGAGGUAUGCUGGAGGUAUCAGAAGUGCGAAUGCUGACAUAAGUAACGAUAAAGCGGGUGAAAAGCCCGCUCGCCGGAAGACCAAGGGUUCCUGUCCAACGUUAAUCGGGGCAGGGUGAGUCGACCCCUAAGGCGAGGCCGAAAGGCGUAGUCGAUGGGAAACAGGUUAAUAUUCCUGUACUUGGUGUUACUGCGAAGGGGGGACGGAGAAGGCUAUGUUGGCCGGGCGACGGUUGUCCCGGUUUAAGCGUGUAGGCUGGUUUUCCAGGCAAAUCCGGAAAAUCAAGGCUGAGGCGUGAUGACGAGGCACUACGGUGCUGAAGCAACAAAUGCCCUGCUUCCAGGAAAAGCCUCUAAGCAUCAGGUAACAUCAAAUCGUACCCCAAACCGACACAGGUGGUCAGGUAGAGAAUACCAAGGCGCUUGAGAGAACUCGGGUGAAGGAACUAGGCAAAAUGGUGCCGUAACUUCGGGAGAAGGCACGCUGAUAUGUAGGUGAAGCGACUUGCUCGUGGAGCUGAAAUCAGUCGAAGAUACCAGCUGGCUGCAACUGUUUAUUAAAAACACAGCACUGUGCAAACACGAAAGUGGACGUAUACGGUGUGACGCCUGCCCGGUGCCGGAAGGUUAAUUGAUGGGGUUAGCGGUAACGCGAAGCUCUUGAUCGAAGCCCCGGUAAACGGCGGCCGUAACUAUAACGGUCCUAAGGUAGCGAAAUUCCUUGUCGGGUAAGUUCCGACCUGCACGAAUGGCGUAAUGAUGGCCAGGCUGUCUCCACCCGAGACUCAGUGAAAUUGAACUCGCUGUGAAGAUGCAGUGUACCCGCGGCAAGACGGAAAGACCCCGUGAACCUUUACUAUAGCUUGACACUGAACAUUGAGCCUUGAUGUGUAGGAUAGGUGGGAGGCUUUGAAGUGUGG
This 2005-nucleotide ribosomal RNA is filed under the name Escherichia coli. Its description in RNAcentral is "partial 23S ribosomal RNA". It matches the Rfam family "Bacterial large subunit ribosomal RNA", at positions 139 to 2167 of the family's 2925-position model. The record is from RNAcentral. Lineage: Bacteria; Pseudomonadati; Pseudomonadota; Gammaproteobacteria; Enterobacterales; Enterobacteriaceae.